UUGGAAUGUAUAUAUACGUAUGCUGGCAGUUGGUUGUAUAUGUAUAUAUAUAUAUAUACACACACACAACCAACUGCCAGCAUACGUAUAUAUUCU
RNAcentral lists this microRNA precursor (96 nucleotides) under Prunus dulcis (almond). RNAcentral describes it as "sRNA ncRNA". The record is from RNAcentral. Lineage: Eukaryota; Viridiplantae; Streptophyta; Magnoliopsida; Rosales; Rosaceae.